ACUUAUAAUAUACUAAUAAAAGUAAUUUUAUUGGAACAUUAUUUUAGUAUUGUGUAAAGAAUUGAAUGGUUGGAUUUAUAGAGAAUAAGUACUGAAAAGGAAAUUUGAAAUACAAAUGAAAUUUAAUUUAUUAAAAAGUAGAAUUUAUUUUGUACCUUGUGUAUCAGGGUUCAUUAAAUGAGAAUUAGUGAUUUUAAUUUUCCCGAAGUAAAAAGAGCUAAAACUAUAAUUUUGGUUAGUGUUUCAAAAUUAUCCUAAAUAUGGUUUUCGAGGCGAAAUGUUAAACGUUUUUUAUGAUAUCUGGUUUUCUAAGAAAAAAUUGAAUUUAUUUAAUAUCGGUAUAUUUCUUCUUUAAUAAUGAAUAAUUUAUGGAGGUAUAUAAUAUAUUUUUGGGGAUAAGCUGAAAAAUAAAGAUUAUAAAAAUUUAUAGAAAUUAGAGGUGUAGGCUUUAAAUUAGCUUUCUAUUUAAUGUUGUUAUAAAUUAAUUAGACAUAGAUAUAGGAUUUAAUAAUUUUUUAAUUUUUAAAUUAGAAUGAAAUAGAUAAUAGAUUAAAAUAUUUAUAAUUAUGAUGGAAUGAGNNUAUAUAUAUAUAUUGUAGAGUGAUUAAAUAUAUAAUAAUUGAAUUUAAGGAAUUAGGCAAAAAUUUAUUCGCAUGUUUAUCAAAAACAUCUCUUUUUGAUUUUAUAAAAAGUAGGGCCUGCCCACUGAUAAUUUUUAAGGGCCGCGGUAAUUUGACCGUGCAAAGGUAGCAAAAUCACUAGUCUUUUAAUUGGAGGCUGGAAUGAAUGGUUUGACGAAAUAAAUACUGUCUCAAAUACAAUAUUAGAAGUUAACUUUCUAGUCAAAAGGCUGGAAUAUUCAUGGAGGACGAGAAGACCCUAUAGAGUUUUAUUUUAUUGUAAUUUAACUUAAGUUGGUUGAAUUUUUAAGUUGAAUUAUCAUGAAAUUUUGUUGGGGUGACAUGAAGAUUAAAUAAACUCUUUAUUAUUUAUGACAUUGAUGGAUGGAUAAUUGAUCCAAUUUUAUUGAUUAUGAGAUUAAAUUACCUUAGGGAUAACAGCGUAAUUUUUUUUGAGAGUUCUUAUCGACAAUGAAGAUUGCGACCUCGAUGUUGGAUUAAGAUUAUUUAUAGGUGUAGAGGCUUAUAAAAUAAGUCUGUUCGACUUUUAAAUUCUUACAUGAUCUGAGUUCAGACCGGCGUGAGCCAGGUCGGUUUCUAUCCUUAUCAAAAAUGAAGAUUUUAGUACGAGAGGACCAAAUCUUUGAAAUAGUUUUUAGAUUAGAAGAGUAAU
RNAcentral lists this ribosomal RNA (1293 nucleotides) under Rhomboptera ligata. RNAcentral describes it as "16S ribosomal RNA". The stretch from base 592 to 1293 matches the Rfam family "Archaeal large subunit ribosomal RNA", at positions 1423 to 2799 of the family's 2987-position model. The record is from RNAcentral. Lineage: Eukaryota; Metazoa; Arthropoda; Insecta; Orthoptera; Tettigoniidae.